Molecule: ribosomal RNA, 492 nt
Filed under: uncultured Planococcus sp.
Lineage: Bacteria; Bacillati; Bacillota; Bacilli; Caryophanales; Caryophanaceae
Description: bacterial SSU rRNA
Rfam family: Bacterial small subunit ribosomal RNA
Source: RNAcentral
CCUAAUACAUGCAAGUCGAGCGGAACAAUGGGAGCUUGCUCCCAAUGUUUAGCGGCGGACGGGUGAGUAACACGUGGGCAACCUGCCCUGCAGAUCGGGAUAACUCCGGGAAACCGGUGCUAAUACCGAAUAGUUUGUUUCACCGCCUGGUGAAACACGGAAAGACGGUUUCGGCUGUCACUGCAGGAUGGGCCCGCGGCGCAUUAGCUAGUUGGUGAGAUAGUAGCUCACCAAGGCGACGAUGCAUAGCCGACCUGAGAGGGUGAUCGGCCACACUGGGACUGAGACACGGCCCAGACUCCUACGGGAGCAGCAGUAGGAAUCUUCCGCAAUGGACGAAAGUCUGACGGAGCAACGCCGCGUGAGUGAUGAAGGUUUCGGCUCGUAAAACUCUGUUAGUUAAGGAAGAUACGUUGAGGUAGUAACUGGCCUUGAGAUGACGGUACUAACCAGAAGCCAGGUCGACUUGCAUGUAUUAGGAGUCGUGGAAGG